Long non-coding RNA from Heterocephalus glaber (naked mole-rat), 1848 nucleotides. RefSeq lists it as uncharacterized. Lineage: Eukaryota; Metazoa; Chordata; Mammalia; Rodentia; Bathyergidae. The record is from RefSeq and is a predicted model, not a curated record.
CCAGCAGCAGGGCCCCCGAGCGGCUGUAGCAUGAACUCGGCAUCUUCCGGGUGGCAGGCUGAGGCUCUGCAGAGGCAAACAAGAUUGGUGGGACCCCUGCAAGGAGCAGAACAAUGUUGGACACUCACCAGGAAGGACUGCAAGCCAAUACCAACAGCACUUGCUUGUGGAGUCCAAGGCUUUUUGAGGGCCCUACAGAGGCUGGAAAUGGAAGCUCUUUGGGGGAAUCGCUUGGUACAGCCAUUCAUUUGAGAGAUGAGGAAUCUGAAGCUCAUGAGAGACAAUGACAUUUGUAUUCAUAACAAGGAGCUGGCCCGCCUCCGGUGUCUUUUCCGAAAGAUGGCCCGGCUUGGGCCGAGUAAUCUCAGAGCGGCCAUUAGAUGGCGCUGGCAGCCAGGGCGCCGGCCCGGCAACCUCUGCUUAAGGGACGGCAGCGAGAGCGUUGGUCAGCCGGCGUUGCUGUUCGCUCCCUACGGAUCGCGGGACAGGCUGCUCCGAGGAUAGUUUGCUCCUGCUCCAGUUCAACCAGGCGGCCUGAACUUGGUGAACAAGCCAAUUAGAUCAGAGCGCUGAAUCUCGCGGCACAUUCAGGUCAGAAUUAGAUCCAGCCGUUACAGGAGAGGCAGAAAAAAGACAACUCUUUCUAGAAAUCCAGUGGUGAGUGUAAGGGGUGGAGGUCCUGCAGGCUGAAGGAGCCGACAGCCGACCACACGCUGGGAGGAAUAAGCCGGUGAGGAGCAGAAACCCGCGCUGCACACAAGGCCAAGAAAAGCCAAAUACUCCACAUCUUAAGCAGAUCAGAGAUUGGAUGCACAGGAACGACCCGUCCCCCAACAGUGGGAACCUCCCUGUGCCAUGCCAGGGUGAAGAAAGGCCAGGAGGUGCACAGGCGGGGCCUGGGGGCGCAGCAGGGGAAGCGGGGGAAGCACUGUGCUCCAGUCACAGCAGCGGUGGGGUGUGAGCCGGUGAGCCGCCUCCUGGGGCCUUCUCACUGGCUCCUGCCCCUUCUCUGUGUUACCUUUCCUCUCCCAUAACAGCAGUCUCCUCACUUGCCUCCUCCCUGUAGUAUUUCAGGAGUUCAAAACUCCUGUUUGUUUUUCACUUAGGCUCAGCCACUGCCUGCCACAGGAACUCAGUGGGGUAGAGUGUGGGCCGCUCUCCUGGCAGGCCCUGGACCCUGGUUAGCCUCACACAAGCGCCAGCCCCUCUCCUCCAUGUCCUCGGAGUGCUGGCGGGAAGGAGGCUGGGAAGGAAGGAGACAGGAGGGGAGGGAGGGAGGGAAGGAGCAGCCCAGGGUUGGAGCCUGUUGGGUGAGUCACACGAGGCCCUCGCCUGUGCAGGCUCAGGGGCCGGGUGAGGCCCCCACACCUGGCUGCUGUCUUGCCAGGUGGCCGUGGGUGCAGGACAGGGCGGCUCUCGUCAGCGCAGCUUUUCACCUUUGAGGGUUUAAUUGGAACAGAGAUGUCACCUGGGUGUGAGUGCCUUACAAAGGCAGGUGCAGAGGUGGCCACCGGCCAGGGAGGACAGCACGUGGGUGGGGCUGGCAGAGCCCAGUCUUGAUGGGGAGGAGGGGGGCAGCCUCACCCAGCUUUCGGGUCCCGGGAACAGUUCACUGGGAGAGGAGAGCCCUUAAAGGCCUGCCAUCCACCUGCGCCCGGCAGCCUGAGCUGGCUCACACAGACUCCAUCCUUGAGACGAAGGGGCCCCUCUCCAGGCAGUUUCCAAAGCUUGUGAUUCUCCCAACCCCACCCCACCUCACCCUCCUCUGCGGAGGAGCCUGAAACAGGGAGGCGGCCUGCUUUGAAAUGACGCAGCACUAAAAUAAAAUUUAAAAAAAUAAAAAAAGAA